CGAACAAUUAUUAAACCUAAACCUACACCAAGCUUCACCUAUAAAAGCCGUACGAUCGUACUAGGGUUUAGGGUUAUAGGUAUUAAAACAGUGAUUUCUCCUUCCACUGCCCUCGCCGCCGCCGUAACGCUGCCGAGGCGGCGGCAGCGGCCGCAUCACUGUUUCAUAUAUAGCCAUUUUUACACUAAAAUUACUGAUUUUGAGUAUUAAAUGGCCUUUUUUGCAAACAAGACGAGAUUUUUUUGGGGAUUCCCAGAUGGGGUUUACUUGCCUGUUACUUCCAUACUCCAAAACUAGAUUGAGAAAGAUUUUAUAGUGGAGUGGAAUCCGAAAUGUAGCCAUCGACUAGAAACUCCUGCAAGUGCCCAAACAAAUAUGAUGUUGCUGAAUGUAAUCAAGCUUUCUUUGAGAAGCUAAAGGAUCUCUUCACUUACUUAUUUGAAGGAGUUGGUUCUAUGCCUCUCCCUAAAAUGUUUACCAGAUUGUGCAGGCAGUGAGACAUGUUUCAGCUAUUUGUAUGACCAGAGCAUGUGAAAGAGAGGUUGCUUUCUUAUCUCACAAUGAUCAGUCUUCGGAAGUUGAUGAUAUAGUGGUUCGGAAGCCGAGGCGAAAAAAGCUUAUGAAGCAACCUAGCUGAAUGUUCAAAUCAAUUGACCACUCGGAUUUGGUAACGCAACUAUAGCCAAGAGAAUGUUCAUUAAAAGUGCAUGCUUUCUACUUUAUUGUUUGAGCAUUGUGUUGGUUUCUCAAGCACAUGGGAAGAGGAAUUUGUCGAUUGAAAAUUUCGAUUUAGCGAACAAAAAGAAGUUGGUCAAUGGUCUCAGGUCAUUGAGUUAAAUAGCUUCUCUUUUACAGACAAAUUUCUUUUCCAUGUACUUGUGAAAUGCUGCACCAUGCUCAAACGCCAUGAGUGAAAUGUUUGCAUUUGUAAUUAUAUAUAUUUUCUUGGCUAGAGUUGUGUUGCCAAGUUGAGUGUUCAAUUGAUUUGAACCUUCAGGUGAGUUGCUUCAUGAUCUUCUUAUGCCUUAGCUUCAUAACUUACCACUAUAUCAUCAAUUCUCGGAGUGUGUGGCUACCUAAAUGCUCUUGCUAUAGUAUGCAGACGUUGAUGUGAUUGGUCGUUAGUGUUGAAUUAGGUGCACUUGGAAAUGAACAAGAGCAGGAAAACACUUUGUUCUGUAAUCCUGCAGCAGUCUCAUUUUUUGUCUAGCAGCUGCCAAGAAGGAAAACUUGCUUUUACAUCUAUAUGUAUACUUCAGUUUUGUACUCAAUUUAUGUUUGGUUUAGUUUAUUUUUUGUUGGCCUAAUUGUAUACCGUUGGAGUUUGUGUAUAAAUAUCUGAUGUUUGGGUACUA
This is a long non-coding RNA of Capsicum annuum, 1355 nucleotides long. RefSeq lists it as uncharacterized. The transcript is spliced from 2 exons. Lineage: Eukaryota; Viridiplantae; Streptophyta; Magnoliopsida; Solanales; Solanaceae. The record is from RefSeq and is a predicted model, not a curated record.